Molecule: ribosomal RNA, 2667 nt
Filed under: Klebsiella pneumoniae
Lineage: Bacteria; Pseudomonadati; Pseudomonadota; Gammaproteobacteria; Enterobacterales; Enterobacteriaceae
Description: bacterial LSU rRNA
Rfam family: Bacterial large subunit ribosomal RNA
Source: RNAcentral
CCCCCAGUAGCGGCGAGCGAACGGGGAGCAGCCCAGAGUCUGAAUCAGCUUGUGUGUUAGUGGAACGGUCUGGAAAGUCCGACGGUACAGGGUGAUAGUCCCGUACACCAAAAUGCACAGGUUGUGAACUCGAAGAGUAGGGCGGGACACGUGGUAUCCUGUCUGAAUAUGGGGGGACCAUCCUCCAAGGCUAAAUACUCCUGACUGACCGAUAGUGAACCAGUACCGUGAGGGAAAGGCGAAAAGAACCCCGGCGAGGGGAGUGAAAAAGAACCUGAAACCGUGUACGUACAAGCAGUGGGAGCACCUUCGGGUGUGACUGCGUACCUUUUGUAUAAUGGGUCAGCGACUUAUAUUCUGUAGCAAGGUUAACCGUAUAGGGGAGCCGCAGGGAAACCGAGUCUUAACUGGGCGUUAAGUUGCAGGGUAUAGACCCGAAACCCGGUGAUCUAGCCAUGGGCAGGUUGAAGGUUGGGUAACACUAACUGGAGGACCGAACCGACUAAUGUUGAAAAAUUAGCGGAUGACUUGUGGCUGGGGGUGAAAGGCCAAUCAAACCGGGAGAUAGCUGGUUCUCCCCGAAAGCUAUUUAGGUAGCGCCUCGUGAACUCAUCUUCGGGGGUAGAGCACUGUUUCGGCUAGGGGGUCAUCCCGACUUACCAACCCGAUGCAAACUACGAAUACCGAAGAAUGUUAUCACGGGAGACACACGGCGGGUGCUAACGUCCGUCGUGAAGAGGGAAACAACCCAGACCGCCAGCUAAGGUCCCAAAGUCAUGGUUAAGUGGGAAACGAUGUGGGAAGGCACAGACAGCCAGGAUGUUGGCUUAGAAGCAGCCAUCAUUUAAAGAAAGCGUAAUAGCUCACUGGUCGAGUCGGCCUGCGCGGAAGAUGUAACGGGGCUAAACCAUGCACCGAAGCUGCGGCAGCGACACUAUGUGUUGUUGGGUAGGGGAGCGUUCUGUAAGCCUGCGAAGGUGUGCUGUGAGGCAUGCUGGAGGUAUCAGAAGUGCGAAUGCUGACAUAAGUAACGAUAAAGCGGGUGAAAAGCCCGCUCGCCGGAAGACCAAGGGUUCCUGUCCAACGUUAAUCGGGGCAGGGUGAGUCGACCCCUAAGGCGAGGCCGAAAGGCGUAGUCGAUGGGAAACAGGUUAAUAUUCCUGUACUUGGUGUUACUGCGAAGGGGGGACGGAGAAGGCUAUGUUAGCCGGGCGACGGUUGUCCCGGUUUAAGCAUGUAGGCUGAUUGUCCAGGCAAAUCCGGAUAAUCAAGGCUGAGGUGUGAUGACGAGGCACUACGGUGCUGAAGUAACAAAUGCCCUGCUUCCAGGAAAAGCCUCUAAGCAUCAGGUAACAUUAAAUCGUACCCCAAACCGACACAGGUGGUCAGGUAGAGAAUACCAAGGCGCUUGAGAGAACUCGGGUGAAGGAACUAGGCAAAAUGGUGCCGUAACUUCGGGAGAAGGCACGCUGGUGUGUAGGUGAAGUCCCUGCGGAUGGAGCUGAGACCAGUCGAAGAUACCAGCUGGCUGCAACUGUUUAUUAAAAACACAGCACUGUGCAAACACGAAAGUGGACGUAUACGGUGUGACGCCUGCCCGGUGCCGGAAGGUUAAUUGAUGGGGUUAUCCGUAAGGAGAAGCUCUUGAUCGAAGCCCCGGUAAACGGCGGCCGUAACUAUAACGGUCCUAAGGUAGCGAAAUUCCUUGUCGGGUAAGUUCCGACCUGCACGAAUGGCGUAAUGAUGGCCAGGCUGUCUCCACCCGAGACUCAGUGAAAUUGAACUCGCUGUGAAGAUGCAGUGUACCCGCGGCAAGACGGAAAGACCCCGUGAACCUUUACUAUAGCUUGACACUGAACAUUGAGCCUUGAUGUGUAGGAUAGGUGGGAGGCUUUGAAGCGUGGACGCCAGUCUGCGUGGAGCCAACCUUGAAAUACCACCCUUUAAUGUUUGAUGUUCUAACGUUGGCCCCUGACCGGGGUUGCGGACAGUGUCUGGUGGGUAGUUUGACUGGGGCGGUCUCCUCCCAAAGCGUAACGGAGGAGCACGAAGGUUAGCUAAUCCUGGUCGGACAUCAGGAGGUUAGUGCAAUGGCAUAAGCUAGCUUGACUGCGAGCGUGACGGCGCGAGCAGGUGCGAAAGCAGGUCAUAGUGAUCCGGUGGUUCUGAAUGGAAGGGCCAUCGCUCAACGGAUAAAAGGUACUCCGGGGAUAACAGGCUGAUACCGCCCAAGAGUUCAUAUCGACGGCGGUGUUUGGCACCUCGAUGUCGGCUCAUCACAUCCUGGGGCUGAAGUAGGUCCCAAGGGUAUGGCUGUUCGCCAUUUAAAGUGGUACGCGAGCUGGGUUUAGAACGUCGUGAGACAGUUCGGUCCCUAUCUGCCGUGGGCGCUGGAGAAUUGAGGGGGGCUGCUCCUAGUACGAGAGGACCGGAGUGGACGCAUCACUGGUGUUCGGGUUGUCAUGCCAAUGGCACUGCCCGGUAGCUAAAUGCGGAAGAGAUAAGUGCUGAAAGCAUCUAAGCACGAAACUUGCCCCGAGAUGAGUUCUCCCUGAGACUUUAAGUCUCCUGAAGGAACGUUGAAGACGACGACGUUGAUAGGCCGGGUGUGUAAGCGCAGCGAUGCGUUGAGCUAACCGGUACUAAUGAACCGUGAGGCUUAACCUU